Molecule: microRNA precursor, 87 nt
Filed under: Solanum tuberosum (potato)
Lineage: Eukaryota; Viridiplantae; Streptophyta; Magnoliopsida; Solanales; Solanaceae
Description: MIR8024 microRNA precursor family
Rfam family: MIR8024 microRNA precursor family
Source: Rfam by way of RNAcentral
UUACAGAAUUUGAAGACCUCAACUUGCAGACUUGAGGAAUUUGAGGACCUCAACUUACAGACUUGGAGGACUUUGAAGACUUUAAUU